RNAcentral lists this microRNA precursor (132 nucleotides) under Corchorus capsularis. Its description in RNAcentral is "pre miRNA MIR1446". The record is from RNAcentral. Lineage: Eukaryota; Viridiplantae; Streptophyta; Magnoliopsida; Malvales; Malvaceae.
CCAACAGUCUCUAACUCUCUCCCUCAAUGGCUCUUUCUUUCUGAUAUACAGAGCAGAAAAAUCCUCUGCAGCUUUUUCUGUUUUUCCAGGAGGAAGAGGAACCGUUGAGGGCAGAGCGUUAGAGACUGUUGG